CAGCCGCCGCGGUAAUACGUAGGGUGCGAGCGUUAAUCGGAAUUACUGGGCGCAAAGCGUGCGCAGGCGGUUAUAUAAGACAGAUGUGAAAUCCCCGGGCUCAACCUGGGACCUGCAUUUGUGACUGUAUAGCUAGAGUACGGUAGAGGGGGAUGGGACUCCGCGUGUAGCAGUGAAAUGCGUAGAUAUGCGGAGGAACACCGAUGGCGAAGGCAAUCCCCUGGACCUGUACUGACGCUCAUGCACGAAAGCGUGGGGAGCAAACAGGAUUAGAGACCCCCGUAGUCCCUGUCUCUUAUAC
This 301-nucleotide ribosomal RNA is filed under the name uncultured bacterium. RNAcentral describes it as "partial 16S ribosomal RNA". It matches the Rfam family "Bacterial small subunit ribosomal RNA", at positions 509 to 807 of the family's 1533-position model. The record is from RNAcentral.